UACUGUAUUUACUGAUGUCAGCCAUCUUGGUUGGUAGGCGGGGUCAUUAGACACUUUUUUAAAAUAGAUACCCUAGUAAUGAUUGUGGCCAAGUUUGGUUAAAUUUGGCCCAUAGUUUUAGAAAAAAGAUUUUUGUACAAGUUACAAAAAUAACGAAAAGUUGUUCAAUAUUGACUAUAAAGGACAAUAACUCCUUAAGGGGUUCUCUGACAAUUUUGAUCAUGUUGACUUAUUUGUAGAUCUUACUUUGCUGAACAUUAUUGCUGUUUACAGUUUAUCUCUAUCUAUAAUAGUAUUCAAGAUAAUAACCAACCAGAUGCUCCGUAGGGCGUAGCUUUAUACGACCGCAGAGGUUGAACCCUGAACGGUUGGGGCAAGUAUGGACACAACAUUCAAGCUGGAUUCAGCUCUAAAUUUGGAUUGUGAUUAAAUAGUUG
Molecule: long non-coding RNA, 437 nt
Filed under: Mytilus galloprovincialis (Mediterranean mussel)
Lineage: Eukaryota; Metazoa; Mollusca; Bivalvia; Mytilida; Mytilidae
Source: RNAcentral